RNAcentral lists this long non-coding RNA (1034 nucleotides) under Capra hircus (goat). RNAcentral describes it as "lncRNA (ENSCHIG00010022313.1)". Lineage: Eukaryota; Metazoa; Chordata; Mammalia; Artiodactyla; Bovidae. The record is from RNAcentral.
UAUACAGGAAGUGAGUUCUUAUGAAACAUAGACUGUUGACAGGAGAACAGUGAUAGAAAAAACCAGUAAGACAAAUAUUCAAGAUUUGGAAAUGUAGAUGAAGAAGGAAAAUCAAUUGGGAACGGCUACAUCCAUAAUGAAGUACUUUUUUUUUCUCCUUAGCAGAGGGAUCUUCCAAAUUCAAUGAGGGAAGCAGACUUCAUGCAGCCAGAAGGAUUUGGAUUAGACAGUAAAGGACUUCCUGCCUGUUAAAUGAUCAGAGGAAGUGGACUGCAAACUUUUAAAGUAAGGCAUCCCUCCCAGAAAGAAGAAAAUUGUUUUAUGCCAACAUCAUGGUUACUCUGGGAUUGACUGAAUGUCCUGAUGGAUGUGAAGAGCCCUUUGCAGACUGGGAGGCACCAAUUUCCACUGUCUGAUUAAAAAAUUGUUUUGCAGAAACUUUUUGUAUAGGUCAUGAUCACUUUUAGUUAUAAAUAACAAUGUACCUGAUCCUUAAUCUAAUGAUGUUUAAGCAAUAAGAUGUUUGGUUGUCUAACUUCCUAAACAGAAAGAGAUUUGGAGGUAGUUGGUCCAGGGUUCACAUAUGUCAUGAGUGACCUAGACUCUUCUUUUUUGCAACCUCUCCUUCCUGCAACCCCACAGUGCUGUCUUGCUGCCUGAUGGACAUAGGAUGCUUGCUACAGUUCCAGGCAUCACCUAUCUGCCCAAAGCAGGAAAAGGGAUAAGGUGGCACUAACCAUACUCUUCCUUUUUGCUAAGAAAGCACAGUGUUCACAAUGUUCCUGGAAGUUCCCAGCAAACAUCUCCUACUAGCUUACUGACAGAACUGCUUGUAUCCACAACCAUACAUGGCUACCAGGGAGCUGGAGAUCAGGACUGCCAUGAUUAUAUUGUCCAAGUGAUUCUCUAAGAGAGCCCUUCAGACCAAUAGCAUCAUCAUGACUUGGGAGCCUGAUAGGCAUGCAAAUUCUUAGGCCCCACCCCAGACAAUGGCAACCCACUCCAGUACUCUUGCCUGGAAAAUCCCGUGGAUG